UGGUAACAGAACCUUCUUCAAAAAGGUCUAAAGGGUAAGCUACAUAAGCAAUAUAUUGAUCUUUUUCUCCAACAACACGCUCGAUGCGGUAGCAUCGCCUUUUGUAACGAUCAAGGCUGGUAAGUCCAUCGAUCCAUACAGUUGUCCAUGUACCAGUAGAAGAUUCGGCAGCUACCGCGGCCCCUGCUUCUUCAGGUGGAACUCCAGGUUGAGGAGUUACUCGAAAUGCUGCCAAUAUAUCAGUAUCCUUGAUUUGGUACUCAGGAGUAUAAUAAGUCAAUUUGUACUCUUUAACACCAGCUUUGAAUCCAACACUUGCUUUAGUCUCU
Molecule: long non-coding RNA, 329 nt
Filed under: Nicotiana benthamiana
Lineage: Eukaryota; Viridiplantae; Streptophyta; Magnoliopsida; Solanales; Solanaceae
Description: long non-coding RNA (NBEN_LNC039365)
Source: RNAcentral